UACGAAGGGGGCUAGCGUUGUUCGGAAUCACUGGGCGUAAAGGGCGCGUAGGCGGCCGAUCAAGUCGGGGGUGAAAGCCUGUGGCUCAACCACAGAAUUGCCUUCGAUACUGUUUGGCUUGAGACCGGAAGAGGUAAGUGGAACUGCGAGUGUAGAGGUGAAAUUCGUAGAUAUUCGCAAGAACACCAGUGGCGAAGGCGGCUUACUGGUCCGGUUCUGACGCUGAGGUGCGAAAGCGUGGGGAGCAAACAGG
This 253-nucleotide ribosomal RNA is filed under the name uncultured bacterium. Its description in RNAcentral is "partial 16S ribosomal RNA". It matches the Rfam family "Bacterial small subunit ribosomal RNA", at positions 524 to 776 of the family's 1533-position model. The record is from RNAcentral.